GGGUCAGUAGGUUGGUCGUGCCACCGGUACGUACUGGUCUCACUGAUUCCCCCUUCCUGAAGAGCCGUAAUGCCAUUAAUUUGGUGUUGCGGGGAAACAGGACUGUUACUUUGAAAAAAUUAGAGUGUUUAAAGCAAGCUAACGCUUGAAUACAUUAGCAUGGAAUAAUGAAAUAGGACGAUCGAUCCUAUUUUGUCGGUUUCUAGGAUUGACGUA
Molecule: ribosomal RNA, 216 nt
Filed under: Glomeromycotina sp.
Lineage: Eukaryota; Fungi; Glomeromycota
Description: partial small subunit ribosomal RNA
Rfam family: Eukaryotic small subunit ribosomal RNA (bases 75-216)
Source: RNAcentral